AGAGUUUGAUCCUGGCUCAGAUUGAACGCUGGCGGCAUGCCUUACACAUGCAAGUCGAACGGUAACGGGCCUUCGGGUGCCGACGAGUGGCGAACGGGUGAGUAAUAUAUCGGAACGUGCCCAAUCGUGGGGGAUAGCCCGGCGAAAGCCGGAUUAAUACCGCAUACGACCUGAGGGUGAAAGCGGGGGAUCUUCGGACCUCGCGCGAUUGGAUCGGCCGAUAUCAGAUUAGGUAGUUGGUGGGGUAAAGGCUUACCAAGCCUACGAUCUGUAGCUGGUCUGAGAGGACGACCAGCCACACUGGGACUGAGACACGGCCCAGACUCCUACGGGAGGCAGCAGUGGGGAAUUUUGGACAAUGGGCGCAAGCCUGAUCCAGCCAUGCCGCGUGCAGGAAGAAGGCCUUCGGGUUGUAAACUGCUUUUGUCAGAGAAGAAAUCUUCUGGGUUAAUACCCUGGGAGGAUGACGGUAUCUGAAGAAUAAGCACCGGCUAACUACGUGCCAGCAGCCGCGGUAAUACGUAGGGUGCGAGCGUUAAUCGGAAUUACUGGGCGUAAAGCGUGCGCAGGCGGCUUUGCAAGACAGAUGUGAAAUCCCCGGGCUUAACCUGGGAACUGCAUUUGUGACUGCAAGGCUAGAGUACGGCAGAGGGGGAUGGAAUUCCGCGUGUAGCAGUGAAAUGCGUAGAUAUGCGGAGGAACACCGAUGGCGAAGGCAGUCCCCUGGGCCUGUACUGACGCUCAUGCACGAAAGCGUGGGGAGCAAACAGGAUUAGAUACCCCGGUAGU
Molecule: ribosomal RNA, 789 nt
Filed under: uncultured bacterium
Lineage: Bacteria
Description: bacterial SSU rRNA
Rfam family: Bacterial small subunit ribosomal RNA
Source: RNAcentral